Molecule: ribosomal RNA, 468 nt
Filed under: uncultured bacterium
Lineage: Bacteria
Description: partial 16S ribosomal RNA
Rfam family: Bacterial small subunit ribosomal RNA
Source: RNAcentral
GACGAACGCUGGCGGCGUGCUUAACACAUGCAAGUCGAACGGAAAGGCCCUGCUUUUGUGGGGUGCUCGAGUGGCGAACGGGUGAGUAACACGUGAGUAACCUGCCCUUGACUUUGGGAUAACUUCAGGAAACUGGGGCUAAUACCAGAUAGGGGCUCCUGCUGCAUGGUGGGGGUUGGAAAGUUUCGGCGGUUGGGGAUGGACUCGCGGCUUAUCAGCUUGUUGGUGGGGUAGUGGCUUACCAAGGCUUUGACGGGUAGCCGGCCUGAGAGGGUGACCGGCCACAUUGGGACUGAGAUACGGCCCAGACUCCUACGGGAGGCAGCAGUGGGGAAUAUUGCACAAUGGGCGGAAGCCUGAUGCAGCAACGCCGCGUGCGGGAUGACGGCCUUCGGGUUGUAAACCGCUUUCGCCUGUGACGAAGCGUGAGUGACGGUAAUGGGUAAAGAAGCACCGGCUAACUACGUG